UCGACGGACUCAUAUUGAAACCUAGUGAUGUAUGAGUUAGUGGCGGACGGGUGAGUAACGCGUGGAGAACCUGCCGUAUACUGGGGGAUAACACUUAGAAAUAGGUGCUAAUACCGCAUAAGCGCACAGCUUCGCAUGAAGCAGUGUGAAAAACUCCAGUGGUAUACGAUGGAUCCGCGUCUGAUUAGCUUGUUGGCGGGGUAAAGGCCCACCAAGGCGACGAUCAGUAGCCGGCCUGAGAGGGUGAACGGCCACAUUGGGACUGAGACACGGCCCAAACUCCUACGGGAGGCAGCAGUGGGGAAUAUUGCACAAUGGGGGAAACCCUGAUGCAGCGACGCCGCGUGAGUGAAGAAGUAUUUCGGUACGUAAAGCUCUAUCAGCAGGGAAGAAAUAAAGUCCUUCGGACUUUGGACGGUACCUGACUAAGAAGCCCCGGCUAACUACGUGCCAGCAGCCGCGGUAAUACGUAGGGGGCAAGCGUUAUCCGGAUUUACUGGGUGUAAAGGGAGCGUAGACGGCAGCGCAAGUCUGGAGUGAAAUCCCAUGGCUUAACCAUGGAACUGCUUUGGAAACUGUGCAGCUGGAGUGCAGGAGAGGUAAGCGGAAUUCCUAGUGUAGCGGUGAAAUGCGUAGAUAUUAGGAGGAACACCAGUGGCGAAGGCGGCUUACUGGACUGUAACUGUCGUUGAGGCUCGAAAGCGUGGGGAGCAAACAGGAUUAGAUACCCUGGUAGUCCACGCUGUAAACGAUGAUUACUAGGUGUUGGGGGACCAAGGUCCUUCGGUGCCGUCGCAAACGCAUUAAGUAAUC
This 813-nucleotide ribosomal RNA is filed under the name uncultured bacterium. RNAcentral describes it as "bacterial SSU rRNA". It matches the Rfam family "Bacterial small subunit ribosomal RNA", at positions 62 to 869 of the family's 1533-position model. The record is from RNAcentral.